UCAGUCCAGUCGCUCUGAUUUAUUUUAACUCUUUUCUUGUUUGUAGAUCUUUAACAAAACAGAACACCAGUGUUGAAAGGAACUUAGAGAUGUAAUGUGAUCCCUCCAUCUUAUAAAUGAGGAAAUUGAGGCCCCGGAAGAAGGGACCGUCUAACCAGUGAGAGAGUAGUGAAUCUUGUUCCAUCUUCAGCCUUGAGGUCGUGGGAGUCCCGGCUGCCAGCGGUUCCCCUGAUUCCCGCUCUGUCUGCGUAAUCCUCAAAUCUUAACAGAGAAGUCGAACUCUGGCUUCCCAGGUCGGCUUCUCACUGGCCAUGCCACCUGCUCUGAGAAUCUAGAACCUCAACUUUGUUUGGGCUAAGAAUUUGUCCAACUUCAGUGAAGACUCAAGAUUGUUCUCAAUUGAUCAGGAUAAUAUCCCCCGCCCCCACCCACCAAUCUGGUGGCUACAUGAUCCUAAGCUGGAUGAGAUGUAAGAGGAAGGAUGGCUGCUUCUGGGGAAGCAUUUGCUUUCCUGAUAAAGGGCAGACGUGAAAGGGGACCUGGUGGUGCUGCCCCUUUUGCUGUUUUUCUGCCUUGAGUAGGGGUUGAUGCCUGGAGCUUGAGAGCCUGGAGCAUUAAGCUUGGGUAGGAGGAGCCAACACGAAGAUGGUGGAGCAGAAAUAUAGGAGAGCCUGGAUCCUGAUGACUUGGUUGAGCUGCCAGACCAACCCUAAGACUCCCUCACUCUGGGCUUCUCUCUCAGAAGACAAGUGAUGCAGAAUGGUUGGAGAUACUCCUAACUUCUUUAUCAGCCCUAACAGACACCAGCAUGGCCAAGACAUUCCCUCGAGAUCGGAUGCUAACCCUGAAGAAGACUCAUCACUAUCUUUGCAAAAGUGAUGUUGAAAUGAUUCUCCCACAAGUCAAGACGUUAUGUUGUUACAGCAUUGACAGUGGCAAAAACUGUCCUACUGGUUCUCCUCUGCUCUAAAACAUGCAUGCCACCCCCUUCUCCAGCACAGA
Long non-coding RNA from Diceros bicornis minor, 1002 nucleotides. RefSeq lists it as uncharacterized. The transcript is spliced from 3 exons. The record is from RefSeq and is a predicted model, not a curated record. NCBI's taxonomy places the organism in Eukaryota, Metazoa, Chordata, Mammalia, Perissodactyla, Rhinocerotidae.